CAAUAGCGUAUAUUAAAGUUGUUGCAGUUAAAAAGCUCGUAGUUGGAUUUCUGGUUGAAGCGACCGGUCGGGCGUUGAUUCGUCUGCACUGGAGUCGGUUUUGGCCAUCCUCUAGGAAAGUGCGUCUGGUAUUAAGUUAUCGGGCGUAUGAUCCUGGUCUUUUACUGUGAAAAAAUUAGAGUGUUUAAAGCAGGCCUUCGCCUUGAAUACAUUAGCAUGGAAUAAUAAGAUAGGACUUUUGUCUAUUUUGUUGGUUUGCAGACCGAAGUAAUGAUUAAUAGGGAUAGUUGGGGGUAUUUAUAUUCCGAUGUCAGAGGUGAAAUUCUUAGAUUUUCGGAAGAUAAACUUAUGCGAAAGCAUUUACCAAGGAUGUUUUCAUUAA
Molecule: ribosomal RNA, 382 nt
Filed under: uncultured eukaryote
Lineage: Eukaryota
Description: partial 18S ribosomal RNA
Rfam family: Eukaryotic small subunit ribosomal RNA
Source: RNAcentral